Molecule: long non-coding RNA, 2120 nt
Filed under: Mus musculus (house mouse)
Lineage: Eukaryota; Metazoa; Chordata; Mammalia; Rodentia; Muridae
Description: long non-coding RNA chr2:129205189-129207309
Source: RNAcentral
UUUUUUUUUUUUUUUUUUGCCCUAUAAGAUUGUUUCUAAGAAAACCCAGUCCUUUCGUUCCCCCUUUUGACUUGGAAUGUAGACAAACUUAAACUGAUAAACACUAAUUAGACCUCAUGGAUAUUUUACUUUGUGGACAUAACUGCCUAGUCACAGUUGAAAGCAGAACUUAAAAUGAAAAGACCGGCAGAUAGAAAGAACUUCAGGACUGAAGGAUUUCAGCUUAUGUCUGAUUGAUUCUUAAAGGCUACUUCUUAGUAUAUUCUGUCUCUUUUACGGUGCUAGGGAUUGAAUCUAAGGCUUUGUGCAAGCUAGGCUGAGCUGCGGUCCCGACAUAAAUAGUUUUGACAGUACAGUAAUGUUCCCAUUUUAUAAGUGACUUACUAUGCAGUAAGCAAAAUCAAGUGAGACAAGCACAAGUGACUUUGCUGGGGGAAGGGACAUUCAGACAGUGGCCUGGGAUUCAGUGCUGUGAAUGGUCUCCACUCUAGGAUACGCCAGCAGUCCCUGUUGCCUGUGUGCAAGCUGACACUUGCCAGUACUGCUGAUCCUGAGGUCAUUGAGCCAAGGGGAAAGAACUGGAGGACAGGUCUCUCUGCCUUGUUACUGAACUACCACUAAACUUGUCCUGUGUGAAAGGCAACAUUUAAGCAAGUGUCUUCCCGUAGUUAAUAACCCUAUUUUCUGUUAGCUUGAUGAUGCUUUUGUGGAGAGAUGCAGUUCCCCCAAGAGCUGCCUGGUACAGUCAGUGUAGUAACUUUCCUUUACAGUGUGUGGUGUCUGCGUGACACUGACUUGAGACACUCCCUUUAUUAAAAUAAGUCAUAUGUAAAUGUAAUGUGGGGCAGUUAGGAUGAGGAGCUGAGUGCAGAAAAGGAUGCUGUGAUUGGUUUUAUAGUUAUAGGUCCUUACUGUAGCGAUUCUUGAAGAAAGUUAGCACAUGAGUCCAGCAAGUGUUUCAGUGGCUUUGGUUGCUGUGGGUUUAAGAUGUUCAUUCACGUUUUCUCCAUGGUCUGCAUAGCCAGUAGCCUGAUGAAACUCUGGAAUGGCAGCAGCUGAAACGGGUGACGGUGACGGGCUGGCUUGGGGAAGCCCUCCUUCCCCUCAGGAGGGUUUACACAUUGUUGCAGGGGGCUGUUGCCCUGGGGUUUUCAAGAUGCACCAUUUUAUCUCGUAGUGCUGGGCUUUGACAAACUUCCUCUGUGGGGUACCAUCCUCAUCUCGGUGGGAUGUGCAGUUUUCUGUGCCCUUAUCGUCUGGUUCUUUGUAUGUCCCAGGAUGAAGAGAAAAAUUGAACGUAAGUAAUACAGUUUAAUAGCGUUCCCCUCUCCCUCUACUCCUCUGUUCCCCUCUCUCCCCCUCUCUCCCUAUCAGACUAUUUUAGGAUAGAGGAAGCAUUUGCCUCAGGUACCUUUGCAUACUCAGAUGGCUGUGUGACAGUGUCUAUACACAUACACACUGUGUAAUGCAGACACACUUUUGCACACUAUCCUUGUGCUAGAGCUGUAACAACACAUGAAGAAGUAAACACUCUUAGAAGUAACCUUAAGUCAUUGAAGGCUGUUUUUGCAGUAUAAUUUAAUACCAAGUAAGUUUUAUUUGGUACUAGUCUUUGUGUCUGUUUUAGUCAGUCGUUAAGAUAGUUUAGCAGAGUCCCCUUCUGCCUUUCAGUGUGUGGAAUGUUGGUUUGUGGAUACACAGCAGAACAGGAAUGCAUAGACUGCAGUGGCUUUAGAAGAAUGCUGCGUCAUUGCAGUUCUGAGGAGCCGCCCAGAGCUCUGUGCUCGUCAGCUGUGCGGCACGCACAGUGGGAAUGAAGCUUCCAGGACUCUGACCUCAUUUUUGUCUCAGUCUGGAAGGAGAGACAAACCUCACUUUAAUGCUGUGCUAGUGUGAGGUGUCUGAGCCAGUAGGUGACUGCUGAGCUGGCCGUUAGGCAGAAAUACUGCCUGGCUCCCGGGUAUGCAAGUGUUUAAGCCUGCCGGUUGCAGCUCAGUUGUCUGUACUCAGGACCUAAGAGUUAGGAGAUUCCUUAGGAAGGCUGACUGUUUAGUCAGCUGCCACCCCAGGGCUUGAGCCCCCAUUUCAUGACCAAGAGCUGAAGAUGGUUUUACACUUGU